AAAGCUUUAUGUUAAAUAAACAAAUAACCUUCAAAGUUAUAAAUACAAGUAAUUCUUGUAAGCUUUA
Molecule: transfer RNA, 67 nt
Filed under: Macromia amphigena
Lineage: Eukaryota; Metazoa; Arthropoda; Insecta; Odonata; Macromiidae
Description: tRNA-Trp
Source: RNAcentral